UGCGCGGCGCACAAUGGAUUUCCCUCAGCACUUUCGGGGCGUCUUUUGUGCAAAUCCAUGCAAA
Molecule: microRNA precursor, 64 nt
Filed under: Gadus morhua (Atlantic cod)
Lineage: Eukaryota; Metazoa; Chordata; Actinopteri; Gadiformes; Gadidae
Description: microRNA gmo-mir-19c precursor
Gene: gmo-mir-19c
Source: miRBase by way of RNAcentral